This 69-nucleotide transfer RNA is filed under the name Bostrichoidea sp. 9 KM-2017. Its description in RNAcentral is "tRNA-Lys". Lineage: Eukaryota; Metazoa; Arthropoda; Insecta; Coleoptera. The record is from RNAcentral.
CAUUAGAUGGCUGAAAGCAAGUAACGGUCUCUUAAACCGCAUAAUAGUAAUUAGCGAUUACUUCUAAUG